Long non-coding RNA from Oncorhynchus keta (chum salmon), 1293 nucleotides. RefSeq lists it as uncharacterized. The record is from RefSeq and is a predicted model, not a curated record. Lineage: Eukaryota; Metazoa; Chordata; Actinopteri; Salmoniformes; Salmonidae. The transcript is spliced from 4 exons.
UCUGCGUUUGCAAACAUUGGGGUUUAUAUUACUGAGACAAUCCACCCCCAGGUUAUCCAGCUUAUCAAAAACCAUACCGACAGUAACAUCUGUUACCCCCAACAACUCUGCUGCAGUUUACAAGAUAACUUUCAACCUGGUAUUUCUGCUUUACACAAUCCAAGUUGUUGAUAAGCUCACCAAUGAAAGCUAUGAAGUACAUAUUAUUCAAUAUUAAAGUAUCCUUUGUCACAGUGCAUUUAUGGCUGCAAGAUUUCUGAACAGGCCUCGAAACCAUGUCAGGACUAGUAGAAAGACCAGUUCUGACAGUAGGUCCUCUUACUACAGGACCAACCAUGGAAGCUCCAUCAGUCUGACAGUAGGUCCUCUUACUACGGGACCAGCCAUGGAAGCUCCAUCAGUCUGACAGUAGGUCCUCUUACUACGGGACCAGCCAUGGAAGCUCCAUCAGUCUGACAGUAGGUCCUCUUACUACGGGACCAGCCAUGGAAGCUCCAUCAGUCUGACAGUAGGUCCUCUUACUACGGGACCAGCCAUGGAAGCUCCAUCAGUCUGACAGUAGGUCCUCUUACUACGGGACCAGCCAUGGAAGCUCCAUCAGUCUGACAGUAGGUCCUCUUACUACGGGACCAGCCAUGGAAGCUCCAUCAGUCUGACAGUAGGUCCUCUUACUAUGGGACCAGCCAUGGAAGCUCCAUCAGUCUGACAGUAGGUCCUCUUACUACAGGACCAGCCAUGGAAGCUCAGUCUGUCUUACAGCCUCUGCAUAUGAUACAUCAUGACAGAUUCUAUAUAUCUGAGCAUCUCUCUGCACCUGGCAUCCACCAAAUGCUGCUCUUUGUCCUCCACACAAUUGCAACACUUAACUGUCACAUUGCUCCAACAUUCACUGUAAUCAUGUUCCCCACCACACUUGGCACAUCUCUUCACUCAACAUCUACAUGUCCCAUUCUUUGGCAUUUAAAAACACUGAUGAUUCACUGUUGCUGCUCCAGUUUCAACUGUUCUGCUAUGGAACCCUGACCUGUUCACCGGACGUGCUACCUGUCCCAGACCUGCUGUUUUCAACUCUCUAGAGACAGCAGGAGCGAUAGAGAUACUCUCAAUGAUUGACUAUGAAAAGCCAACUGACAUUUACUCCUGAGGUGCUGACCUGUUGCACCCUCGACAACCACUGUGAUUAUUAUUAUUUGACCAUGCUGGUCAUCUAUGAACAUUGGGACAUCUUGGCCAUGUUGUUAUAAUCUCCACCUGGCACAGCCAGAAGAGGACUGGCCACCCCUCAUAGCCUGG